Molecule: small nuclear RNA, 23 nt
Filed under: Arabidopsis thaliana (thale cress)
Lineage: Eukaryota; Viridiplantae; Streptophyta; Magnoliopsida; Brassicales; Brassicaceae
Description: snRNA_17220
Source: RNAcentral
UCUUUAAACUAAGUUUGUAGCGG